RNAcentral lists this ribosomal RNA (428 nucleotides) under Tryphon sp. BIOUG19185-H01. RNAcentral describes it as "partial 16S ribosomal RNA". The record is from RNAcentral. Lineage: Eukaryota; Metazoa; Arthropoda; Insecta; Hymenoptera; Ichneumonidae.
GUCUUUUUGAUUAUAAUUUUAAGUCUGGCCUGCUCAAUGAUUAAAUUAAAUAGCUGCGGUAAAUUGACCGUACAAAGGUAGCAUAAUCAAUAGUUUUUUAAUUAAAAGCUGGAAUGAAUGGUUUGAUGAGAUAUAAACUGUCUCAAAUUUAAAUUUUUAUAAGUUUAUUUUUAGUUAAAAAUCUAAAAUAUUUUUAAAAGACGAGAAGACCCUAUAGAUUUUUAUAGUUUUAUUUUAAAUUUAAAUUAAAUUAAAUUUAGAUUAGGAUAAUUUUAUUUGAUUGGGGUGAUUAUUAAAUUUAUUUAACUUUAAUUAUAUUAGAUAUGAAUUAAUAAAAUUUUGAACCUUUUUUAAAGAUUAAAGAAUAAAUUACCUUAGGGAUAACAGCGUAAUUUUUUUGGAGAGACCAUAUUGAUAAAAAAGUUUGC